Molecule: ribosomal RNA, 687 nt
Filed under: uncultured bacterium
Lineage: Bacteria
Description: bacterial SSU rRNA
Rfam family: Bacterial small subunit ribosomal RNA
Source: RNAcentral
GUAGUCCACGCCCUAAACGAUGUCUACUAGUUGUCGGGUCUUAAUUGACUUGGUAACGCAGCUAACGCGUGAAGUAGACCGCCUGGGGAGUACGGUCGCAAGAUUAAAACUCAAAGGAAUUGACGGGGACCCGCACAAGCGGUGGAUGAUGUGGAUUAAUUCGAUGCAACGCGAAAAACCUUACCUACCCUUGACAUGGAUGGAAUCCCGGAGAGAUUUGGGAGUGCCCGAAAGGGAACCAUCACACAGGUGCUGCAUGGCUGUCGUCAGCUCGUGUCGUGAGAUGUUGGGUUAAGUCCCGCAACGAGCGCAACCCUUGUCAUUAGUUGCUACGAAAGGGCACUCUAAUGAGACUGCCGGUGACAAACCGGAGGAAGGUGGGGAUGACGUCAAGUCCUCAUGGCCCUUAUGGGUAGGGCUUCACACGUCAUACAAUGGUACAUACAGAGCGCCGCCAACCCGCGAGGGGGAGCUAAUCGCAGAAAGUGUAUCGUAGUCCGGAUUGUAGUCUGCAACUCGACUGCAUGAAGUUGGAAUCGCUAGUAAUCGCGGAUCAGCAUGUCGCGGUGAAUACGUUCCCGGGUCUUGUACACACCGCCCGUCACACCAUGGGAGCGGGUUUUACCAGAAGUAGGUAGCUUAACCGCAAGGAGGGCGCUUACCACGGUAGGAUUCGUGACUGGGGUG